GAUGAACGCUGGCGGCGUGCCUAAUACAUGCAAGUCGAGCGAACGGACGAGAAGCUUGCUUCUCUGAUGUUAGCGGCGGACGGGUGAGUAACACGUGGAUAACCUACCUAUAAGACUGGGAUAACUUCGGGAAACCGGAGCUCAUACCGGAUGAUAUUUUGAACCGCAUGGUUCAAAAGUGAAAGACGGUCUUGCUGUCACUUAUAGAUGGAUCCGCGCUGCAUUAGCUAGUUGGUAAGGUAACGGCUUACCAAGGCAACGAUGCAUAGCCGACCUGAGAGGGUGAUCGGCCACACUGGAACUGAGACACGGUCCAGACUCCUACGGGAGGCAGCAGUAGGGAAUCUUCCGCAAUGGGCGAAAGCCUGACGGAGCAACGCCGCGUGAGUGAUGAAGGUCUUCGGAUCGUAAAACUCUGUUAUUAGGGAAGAACAUAUGUGUAAGUAACUGUGCACAUCUUGACGGUACCUAAUCAGAAAGCCACGGCUAACUACGUG
Molecule: ribosomal RNA, 497 nt
Filed under: uncultured bacterium
Lineage: Bacteria
Description: partial 16S ribosomal RNA
Rfam family: Bacterial small subunit ribosomal RNA
Source: RNAcentral